This 468-nucleotide ribosomal RNA is filed under the name uncultured bacterium. Its description in RNAcentral is "partial 16S ribosomal RNA". It matches the Rfam family "Bacterial small subunit ribosomal RNA", at positions 28 to 507 of the family's 1533-position model. The record is from RNAcentral.
GACGAACGCUGGCGGCGUGCUUAACACAUGCAAGUCGAACGGAAAGGCCCUGCUUUUGUGGGGUGCUCGAGUGGCGAACGGGUGAUUAACACGUGAGUAACCUGCCCUUGACUUUGGGAUAACUUCAGGAAACUGGGGCUACUACCGGAUAGGAGCUCCUGCUGCAUGGUGGGGGUUGGAAAGUUUCGGCGGUUGGGGAUGGACUCGCGGCUUAUCAGCUUGUUGGUGGGGUAGUGGCUUACCAAGGCUUUGACGGGUAGCCGGCCUGAGAGGGUGACCGGCCAAAUUGGGACUGAGAUACGGCACAGACUCAUACGGGAGGCAGGAGUGGAGAAUAUUGCACAAUGGGCGGAAGCCUGAUGCAGCAACGCCGCGUGCGGGAUGACGGCAUUCGGGUUGUAAACCGCUUUCGCCUGUGACGAAGCGUGAGUGACGGUAAUGGGUAAAGAAGCACCGGCUAACUACGUG